Molecule: small RNA, 29 nt
Filed under: Bombyx mori (domestic silkworm)
Lineage: Eukaryota; Metazoa; Arthropoda; Insecta; Lepidoptera; Bombycidae
Description: ovarian small RNA-5918
Source: RNAcentral
UACAAUGAGUGUCAUUACAUCACAAUUGA